Molecule: transfer RNA, 70 nt
Filed under: Eurydema ventralis
Lineage: Eukaryota; Metazoa; Arthropoda; Insecta; Hemiptera; Pentatomidae
Description: tRNA-Met
Source: RNAcentral
AGAAAGGUAAGCUAAAUUAAGCUACCAGGUUCAUACCCUGUUUAUAGAGAAUAUAAUCCUCUCCUCUCUA